This 84-nucleotide transfer RNA is filed under the name Elusimicrobia bacterium RIFOXYB2_FULL_49_7. RNAcentral describes it as "tRNA-Leu". It matches the Rfam family "tRNA". Rfam says of the family: Transfer RNA (tRNA) molecules are approximately 80 nucleotides in length. Their secondary structure includes four short double-helical elements and three loops (D, anti-codon, and T loops). Further hydrogen bonds mediate the characteristic L-shaped molecular structure. tRNAs have two regions of fundamental functional importance: the anti-codon, which is responsible for specific mRNA codon recognition, and the 3' end, to which the tRNAs corresponding amino acid is attached (by aminoacyl-tRNA synthetases). tRNAs cope with the degeneracy of the genetic code in two manners: having more than one tRNA (with a specific anti-codon) for a particular amino acid; and 'wobble' base-pairing, i.e. permitting non-standard base-pairing at the 3rd anti-codon position. Lineage: Bacteria; Pseudomonadati; Elusimicrobiota. The record is from RNAcentral.
GCCCAGGUGGUGAAAUUGGCAAACACACUAGAUUCAGGUUCUAGCGCCGGCAACGGUUUGCGGGUUCAAGUCCCGCCUUGGGCA